GGUGACGUGACUGGAUGCUGAGGAUGAAGCACAAAAUGCCUGGCUGACAGGAAGCUGUCCAAGGAAGGGAGACACCUGGAGAGGUAUGCGCUUGUGGGGUGGGGGAGAGCAACCCAGCUGAGGAAGGAGAAAUCUGAUGCCAGGUCAUUUGUAGGGGACCUGAUCUUUCUCUUUGAAGCCUUUUACAAUCUACUCUUUAUACUUAGUGUUUUGAAAAUUUGCCAGGUUGUGUCUAGUUGUCGGUCUUUUUCUGUCAUGUGCUGGGCACUCUGUGACCUCUCUGAUGUUAGGACUAGUCUUUCUUCAGCCCUGGAAAAUUGUCUUCUGACCUUCCUUCACUAAUUCUCUCCCCUUUAAUUUCUGUUUUUUCUUUCUAGGAUUCCUAUUAGUUAGAUAUUGGAUUAUUCUAUGUCUUUUAUUGUUCUCUCUCAUAUUUCCUUUUUCUUUCUGCUCAACACUUUGUGGGAUUUUUAUCAAUUUUUAGUGCUUCUACUGAACAUUUUAUUUCACCAGUUGCAUUUUGAAUUUCCAAGAGCUCAUUCUUGUUCUCAAAAUCACACUUUUAGAAUGUAUUAUCUUCCCAACCCUGUCUUGAAAUGCCAAAAAAUUUUAAAGCAAUCUUGUGUUUCCUGAAUUCUGUAUCCCCAGGAGAAUUUUUUUUUUUUUUUUUUUUUGCUUAUUUUCAUAUAUUUCCUUCAUGCUGCUGGUUCUCACCAUUCCCACAUAUGCCUCCUUGGUUAUCUUUUGAUGCUGAAUACAAAAGAACUCUAGCUGGUGUGGGUUGACUGUGCAGUUGUGUAUAACAUCUUGCAUGAAUGGGCUUCUCUGAACCUCUCUGAGGUUUUCGAGGUGCACUGGCUCCCAUGUCCUCUGUCACCCCUCACAGAGCAUUCUAGGUUGGCUUCCUUCAGUUGAUUCCUCUAAUAACUGCUCCCAUACACUUGACGUAUUCCAGACAUUUGUUUACACCUUUCAUUUGUUAGUGGCCUCCUCUUCCCCUCGUUAAUAUUAUGGUUUUAUAUCUUUUGGGAAUUCUAAAACUUUAUUUCAGCAAGAUAUUUGGAAGGAUGGGAGGCAAACGUGUGUCCUGGGUUCACCAUCUUGAACUAUAAGGAGAUUUCAGAAAAUUUUAUUGGUUUAAUUUUAUUUUUUUACAUUUUGAAUUGCUACAUCUUUUAGCAGCUUGGUGCCCCCAAGCCAGGAGGUCCAUGAGGUUUAAGGUCUCCCCAGGAAAGUGUUGUUCACAGAUUUUCAGCAUCUUGUGGCCCUGACUCUUACAGUGGUACACACAAAGUAGGGCCUGGUUUUCCCAAAUUUCUUCCUGCGCACAUUUGAGGUUCCCAGGAAAUAGAAUGAGGGUGGCCCUUCCCUGGCCUGAGAGGUCACCACAGAGCCCGAGAGGCCCUAUGACACCGAGCAGGCUCCCCUUUGUCCUUCAUUCCAUCCUCUCCCCUCCCCAGCCUGGCUUAGCCCUCAUGCGCCCUUCAGAUCCCAGAUCCAGCACCAUUUCCACAGAAAAGACUUCCCUGUUCCUCCUGACUUGGUCAAGCUCCUCUGUCAUAUGGACUUAGGGAACAAUUUUUCUCUCCUUUACAGCAUUUACCUCAGUAGGUAAUAUUUGUGGAGCAUGACCCUGUCUGUCUGCUGUUCACCUCAAUGUCCAAAGCCCUUGAGCACAGUGCUGGCCACUACCAGGUGCUCAGUAAAUCUCUCUGCGAGAAUGAAUGAUCAGCAAGGUGGGCAAAAGAAACAUUUCUUCAGCUAACUAUACUUUGAGGAAUAACCCCCACGUGCCCAAUAACCCACAAAUGCCCCACCUAGAGGUCUGACAUCUGACUAGGCGCGGACAUCCAGGCCUCUAAGGUCGGGGGACAGCACUGCCCAAGGCCUGACACACAGGCUUCCCACGGCCUUUUGUCUGAAGCACAGCCUCUGCCCAGGGUGAGCGCCAGGGUCGGGGAGGCGGAUUCUGGUGCAGCCCACAGGGCUUGAGGCUCACAUGGCCUUCUGACCACCAAAGUCUUCUGCAGGGACGUUGUUCAGAACAAAGUUGUGACUCAUCUCUGAACAAGGCCCUUGAAGCCCAGAAGGAGGGAAAACUGCAGACUCACUCAAGGGGCCAGGAGGAACUUUCUUAGUCACAGACUCCAGGGGGUGGUCCAGAGGCUGCCCAGGAGCAAUGGCGUCGUCCUCGGCUGGGAACAAUAGAGUCCCACACCUCAGCUACUUUUUCGGCUCUGGCUUCCCAGUGGGUGAGGCUCUUAUUAAAUUUAGGAUUACCAUGUGUAAAGCACAGGCUGAAUUUUCUUUGCUCUGCCAUGUAACUUGCCUUUCCAAAUAGGCAGAGCUGCAGUUAAUCUACUGACCACGGGUUUAACCGGUGGGUGGCCAGCAGGCCCCACCAAAUUCCUCCUCGCCCUUUGUUACCUGGCCUGGAAGGCAGAGACCCCUUGUUUGGGAAGUGUUUCUCCUCCCCCCGAACAUUUUCUGUAUUAGGAGUCUUUUGUCACCGUAAGUCUGAAGCGGGGGAUUAUGACAGUAGGCUGUCACCCAGAUUGUUUCCUCCAGAGGAUAAUGGGAAAAGUUUGCGGGCUAGCCUAAUGAAGCCUUUAUUUGGGGGACAAUGCCAUUUCCAUUAAAUUAAAGCUCAAGCCUUAACAAUGCCUCACAACGAACCCAAUUUGAAUAUUUAAUUUGGGAAGGCAAGGAGCUGAGUCAACACCUUGCUCCCCUCAGCCCCUUUCUGGACGCCUCUUGCUGCAACCCUGAGGAAGGUUCCUGAGUCACUGAUGUCAGUCAGCAGCUGUUGCCACCAACAAGAAAGGUGGAAGAAUCUAAAUCUUUAAUAUUCAACUGAUAUCAAAGAAUGUUGUUUAGUCUUUACUUAAAAAAAAAAAUUCCAGGGGCUGGCCCCGUGGCCGAGUGGUUAAGUUCGCGCGCUCCGCUGCAGGCGGCCCAGUGUUUCGUUAGUUCGAAUCCUGGGCACGGACAUGGCACUGCUCAUCAGACCACGCUGAGGCAGCGUCCCACAUGCCACAACUAGAAGAACCCACAACGAAGAAUACACAACUAUGUACCGGGGGGCUUUGGGGAGAAAAAGGAAAAAAUAAAAUCUUUAAAAAAAAAAAAAAUUCCAGGAAGUGAAAAUAAGCGGCCAACUGAAAUCUGUCUCUUCUGAGCCUUGUAAGCCACACAGGCCACACCGGCCACACAGUGAGGGCUCUCCCCACCUCAAGUGCUCACGCUCCACGACCAAGGCCAGGGUCCUCUGAGAACUGUGCACUGCCUCAGACCCCAGCCGAAGUCCUCUUUCUUUGCUUCUUCAGAGAAUCUCUAAGAGAAAGAAAUGUCUACAUUUGCUUGAUUUUUUUAAAAUGGCUGUAGUGACGUCAAAUGCCAUGGAAUUUUCUGUAUCUUCCUCCUCUACCUGGCAACCAGGCAGCAAGGCAACAAGCACCCAAGAGAUGGAGUUGUGUAUGACGAAGCUGGAAGUGGAGCGUGUGGAGGUUCCGUCCGUGGUUUGUCCUCCACGCCUCCACACAGCCUGGCCUUCCAGGCAGGGUGAGGCAGGUAAUUGGGGCAAAGCGCUUGCAUUCCUAAAGCAGUAGGUUCACACUUUUAGGUUGACCAACCAUAUCUUCACCU
Molecule: long non-coding RNA, 3645 nt
Filed under: Equus caballus (horse)
Lineage: Eukaryota; Metazoa; Chordata; Mammalia; Perissodactyla; Equidae
Description: lncRNA (ENSECAG00000050247.1)
Source: RNAcentral